UACGUAGGGUGCGAGCGUUAAUCGGAAUUACUGGGCGUAAAGCGUGCGCAGGCGGUUCGUUAAGUUCGUUGUGAAAGCCCCGGGCUCAACCUGGGAACGGCAAUGGAAACUGGCGGGCUUGAGUGCGGCAGAGGGGGGUGGAAUUCCGCGUGUAGCAGUGAAAUGCGUAGAGAUGCGGAGGAACACCGAUGGCGAAGGCAGCCCCCUGGGCCGACACUGACGCUCAGGCACGAAAGCGUGGGGAGCGAACAGG
This 253-nucleotide ribosomal RNA is filed under the name uncultured bacterium. RNAcentral's name for it is "partial 16S ribosomal RNA". It matches the Rfam family "Bacterial small subunit ribosomal RNA", at positions 524 to 776 of the family's 1533-position model. The record is from RNAcentral.